CUUCAGGCUAUAAAUAAUAGAUUUAUAGCAUGCUCUCCUCUCAUCUGAGAUCGUGAAUAUGGGUUUCCGUAAUGGCCAUACAUCCAUAGUUAUAGAUUGCUCUUUCGAACCUGAACUUCGUUCACCCGAAUCAAUAAAUCACGUUAUUGUUGAAUUCCAUGUCGGAACGGAAAAACGCGGUUUUGUCUAUAAUCACGAGUGGAGAAUACCAGAAGUUGUUGAAGAAGAUGAACGACAUGAGAGUUCAAGCAUUAUUUGUCUUGAUCCAUCUGAGCCCUACGAGGAAUCACAGAAAUUUCUUAUGGCAGAAAUCGAAAGUUAUCAUAUACGACCUCUGGAACUUGAAGAAAGAUUUACUCAUCUUUUAAUCAUCCUCGCACGAAUCAAUGCCGAAACGCGCCGGAAGAUGACUCUUUCCGUGAGUAUAAUGAAGGUUUUAAAUUACAAUUUUGAUGAAAGUUCGCUGCUUCUGUGAGGUAAUUGAUUACGCUUGGAAGAGUUCUCUGUGAAAUCAGUUUACCUUUUGCCCCAUCUUUAUCAAAAUGAUUGAAUUUGGGGAUUUGGCGAAAUCGAAUCCAAUACUUCCCUAUUUUCCUCUUUGAGAUGCCUACAGAUGUCAAUUAGGUCUUUCUAGAGGAAUUUCUUAAAAUUUGUAUUUCUUUUUGAUAUUGUAGAGACGCAGUUCCUUUCAGAUUGUUUUCUGAUUUCUUAAUACCAUAACUUUGUUGCAAUUUUUGAAAGAUUUAGAACUAAAACAGUCCCUGAAUUUCUUUAAUUUGCUUUUAUAUAUUCUUCAUUUAAUCAGCGUAAUUUUCUCUCGGUUUGGCC
RNAcentral lists this long non-coding RNA (828 nucleotides) under Olea europaea subsp. europaea. Lineage: Eukaryota; Viridiplantae; Streptophyta; Magnoliopsida; Lamiales; Oleaceae. The record is from RNAcentral.